CACAGGGGGAGCAAGCGUUGUUCGGAAUCACUGGGCGUAAAGGGCGUGUAGGCGGUCAGGUAAGUGGGAUGUGAAAUGCCCCGGCUCACCCGGGGACCGGCAUCCCAUACUGCUUGGCUUGAGUACGGGAGAGGAUGUGGGAAUUCCUGGUGUAGCGGUGAAAUGCGUAGAUAUCAGGAGGAACACCGGUGGCGAAGGCGCACAUCUGGCCCGAUACUGACGCUGAGGCGCGAAAGCUAGGGGAGCAAACGGG
Molecule: ribosomal RNA, 253 nt
Filed under: uncultured bacterium
Lineage: Bacteria
Description: partial 16S ribosomal RNA
Rfam family: Bacterial small subunit ribosomal RNA
Source: RNAcentral